CACUUCUGGUCAGGGCGGGAGUCGGAGAGCGCGCCCGGCGCAGCAGCGAGACGUGUGUCUGUGGAUUUCGGGCUGCGAUGGCGAGUAGGGAGCUAUGUCUCCUACUUGUGCUGGAAGCCGUUUCGCGCGCUCAUUCUCUGUAACUGGAGGAGGAGGGGUGGCCUUUAGGGUUCGCCUUGAUCGGAGGGGUCCGGUUCCCGCGCUCCCGCCCGGGCCGCAUAAUCUCGCCCAGCACCUUUUCUUCCUUCUUGGUUAUGGCUUGACGAACCCUUAAGGACUCGUCGGCCAACGUUGUGGCACAUUCCUGAAAAGGACGAGGACCCUUUACCCGAGGGGAGUAAAGACAGUACUUGGAAGAUGACGGGUCUAGUCAUCCUUGCACAAGGAAAGCCUUCUGCGCGCUUUGGCGUCUGUACAUGUUGGGACUCCUCAGGCACUGAAAUACUGAAGUCCAGCUCAUUCUCAGUCUCUUGAAAACUGUGUUCACUGUUGGACAGUACUGGCACAGAGUGAAGCCAGACUUCCCGUCCUGCCAGCCUCACCCCUUCAGCAGCCGGUACGAGCAACAGCAGGGCGGUUACCCUCCUGGCUACAGCUCUGGCCGAGGGGCGGGUGGAAAUGGACCCAACCUUUAUUCUGCAUGUGAGACCUCUGGACACCCCUCUGAGACUUCGCUUCCACCCAAGGAAACCACGUCUCUAGCUGAAAACCAAGUUGAAGAUUCACUAGAAGAUCCAAAUCUCCACUUGAAUAUUGAGGAACUCAACAAAGAAUUUAUGGUGAAAAGUGAAGAGCUCUACCAAUCUCUCAUGAAUAGCCACUGGCAGCCUCUCGAUACGGUAUACUCAGAAAUCCCAGACAAGACCCCCCAAGAGCAAGAUGCUGAUUAAGCUACCAAUUAUCAUAUUCAUUGUGUCUUAUUUUGUUUUUGUUUAAAAAGUUCUCGCAGAAAGGCACUGGAUUGUGUGUAUAAAUACAGAUUCUUGAGGGAGUGUCAUGUAAAUAAACGUUGCCAGCACGUUCA
RNAcentral lists this unclassified non-coding RNA (1024 nucleotides) under Bos taurus (domestic cattle). Its description in RNAcentral is "partial C6orf52 non-coding RNA transcript variant 2". Lineage: Eukaryota; Metazoa; Chordata; Mammalia; Artiodactyla; Bovidae. The record is from RNAcentral.